Molecule: transfer RNA, 73 nt
Filed under: Solirubrobacterales bacterium
Lineage: Bacteria; Bacillati; Actinomycetota; Thermoleophilia; Solirubrobacterales
Description: tRNA-Ala
Rfam family: tRNA
About the family: Transfer RNA (tRNA) molecules are approximately 80 nucleotides in length.
Source: RNAcentral
GGGCCCUUAGCUCAGCUGGGAGAGCGCCUGCUUUGCACGCAGGAGGUCAUCGGUUCGAUCCCGAUAGGGUCCA